Molecule: ribosomal RNA, 253 nt
Filed under: uncultured bacterium
Lineage: Bacteria
Description: partial 16S ribosomal RNA
Rfam family: Bacterial small subunit ribosomal RNA
Source: RNAcentral
UACGUAGGUGGCAAGCGUUGUCCGGAUUUACUGGGUGUAAAGGGCGUGUAGCCGGGUUGACAAGUCAGAUGUGAAAUCCUGCGGCUUAACCGCAGAACUGCAUUUGAAACUGUUGAUCUUGAGUACUGGAGAGGCAGACGGAAUUCCUAGUGUAGCGGUGAAAUGCGUAGGUAUUAGGAGGAGCACCAGUGGCGAAGGCGGUCUGCUGGACAGCAACUGACGGUGAGGCGCGAAAGCGUGGGGAGCAAACAGG